Molecule: ribosomal RNA, 1188 nt
Filed under: Salmonella enterica subsp. enterica serovar Typhimurium
Lineage: Bacteria; Pseudomonadati; Pseudomonadota; Gammaproteobacteria; Enterobacterales; Enterobacteriaceae
Description: bacterial LSU rRNA
Rfam family: Bacterial large subunit ribosomal RNA
Source: RNAcentral
CACGGGAGACACACGGCGGGUGCUAACGUCCGUCGUGAAGAGGGAAACAACCCAGACCGCCAGCUAAGGUCCCAAAGUCAUGGUUAAGUGGGAAACGAUGUGGGAAGGCCCAGACAGCCAGGAUGUUGGCUUAGAAGCAGCCAUCAUUUAAAGAAAGCGUAAUAGCUCACUGGUCGAGUCGGCCUGCGCGGAAGAUGUAACGGGGCUAAACCAUGCACCGAAGCUGCGGCAGCGACGCUGAUGCGUUGUUGGGUAGGGGAGCGUUCUGUAAGCCUGUGAAGGUGUGUCGUGAGGCAUGCUGGAGGUAUCAGAAGUGCGAAUGCUGACAUAAGUAACGAUAAAGCGGGUGAAAAGCCCGCUCGCCGGAAGACCAAGGGUUCCUGUCCAACGUUAAUCGGGGCAGGGUGAGUCGACCCCUAAGGCGAGGCCGAAAGGCGUAGUCGAUGGGAAACGGGUUAAUAUUCCCGUACUUGGUGUUACUGCGAAGGGGGGACGGAGAAGGCUAUGUUGGCCGGGCGACGGUUGUCCCGGUUUAAGCGUGUAGGUGUGUGUUCCAGGUAAAUCCGGUUCACUUUAACACUGAGGCGUGACGACGAGGCACUACGGUGCUGAAGCAACAAAUGCCCUGCUUCCAGGAAAAGCCUCUAAGCAUCAGGUAACACGAAAUCGUACCCCAAACCGACACAGGUGGUCAGGUAGAGAAUACCAAGGCGCUUGAGAGAACUCGGGUGAAGGAACUAGGCAAAAUGGUGCCGUAACUUCGGGAGAAGGCACGCUGACACGUAGGUGAAGUGAUUUACUCAUGGAGCUGAAGUCAGUCGAAGAUACCAGCUGGCUGCAACUGUUUAUUAAAAACACAGCACUGUGCAAACACGAAAGUGGACGUAUACGGUGUGACGCCUGCCCGGUGCCGGAAGGUUAAUUGAUGGGGUCAGCGUAAGCGAAGCUCCUGAUCGAAGCCCCGGUAAACGGCGGCCGUAACUAUAACGGUCCUAAGGUAGCGAAAUUCCUUGUCGGGUAAGUUCCGACCUGCACGAAUGGCGUAAUGAUGGCCAGGCUGUCUCCACCCGAGACUCAGUGAAAUUGAACUCGCUGUGAAGAUGCAGUGUACCCGCGGCAAGACGGAAAGACCCCGUGAACCUUUACUAUAGCUUGACACUGAACAUUGAGCCUUGAUGUGUAGGAUAG